Molecule: ribosomal RNA, 469 nt
Filed under: uncultured bacterium
Lineage: Bacteria
Description: partial 16S ribosomal RNA
Rfam family: Bacterial small subunit ribosomal RNA
Source: RNAcentral
GACGAACGCUGGCGGCGUGCUUAACACAUGCAAGUCGAACGGUGAAGCGAGUGCUUGCACUCGUGGAUCAGUGGCGAACGGGUGAGUAACACGUGAGUAACCUGCCCAUCACUCUGGGAUAAGCACUGGAAACGGUGUCUAAUACUGGAUUCGACCAACCCUUGCAUGGGGUGUUGGUGGAAAGAUUUAUCGGUGAUGGAUGGACUCGCGGCCUAUCAGCUUGUUGGCGGGGUAAUGGCCCACCAAGGCGACGACGGGUAGCCGGCCUGAGAGGGUGACCGGCCACACUGGGACUGAGACACGGCCCAGACUCCUACGGGAGGCAGCAGUGGGGAAUAUUGCACAAUGGGCGAAAGCCUGAUGCAGCGACGCCGCGUGAGGGAUGACGGCCUUCGGGUUGUAAACCUCUUUCAGCAGGGAAGAAGCGAAAGUGACGGUACCUGCAGAAGAAGCACCGGCUAACUACGUG